RNAcentral lists this RNase P RNA (285 nucleotides) under Neobacillus bataviensis. Its description in RNAcentral is "Bacillus bataviensis Bacterial RNase P class B". It matches the Rfam family "Bacterial RNase P class B", at positions 1 to 283 of the family's 365-position model. Rfam says of the family: Ribonuclease P (RNase P) is a ubiquitous endoribonuclease, found in archaea, bacteria and eukarya as well as chloroplasts and mitochondria. Its best characterised activity is the generation of mature 5'-ends of tRNAs by cleaving the 5'-leader elements of precursor-tRNAs. Lineage: Bacteria; Bacillati; Bacillota; Bacilli; Caryophanales; Bacillaceae. The record is from RNAcentral.
AAUGGUGAGUAGUCGCGGUUCCUUUUUAAGGAGCUGAGGAAAGUCCAGGCUCGCACAGUGCUGAGAUGCCUGUAGUGUUCGUGCCAUCUGCAAGGGUGGGCAGUCGAUUCACAAUCGGCUGACGGCGGUGAAAUCAUGCUAAGUCCUUCGAGAUAUGCUGAGAGUAGCCUGAAAGUGCCACAGUGACGAUGCUUCUCUGGAAACGGAAAAGGUGGAACGGGUAAACCCCACGAGCGAGCAACCCAAAUUAGGUAGGGGCAUCAUCUUGCGGGAAAUGAACCUAAC